RNAcentral lists this ribosomal RNA (492 nucleotides) under uncultured bacterium. RNAcentral's name for it is "partial 16S ribosomal RNA". It matches the Rfam family "Bacterial small subunit ribosomal RNA", at positions 29 to 507 of the family's 1533-position model. The record is from RNAcentral.
AGUGAACGCUGGCGGUAGGCCUAACACAUGCAAGUCGAACGGCAGCACAGUAAGAGCUUGCUCUUACGGGUGGCGAGUGGCGGACGGGUGAGGAAUACAUCGGGAUCUACUUUUUCGUGGGGGAUAACGUAGGGAAACUUACGCUAAUACCGCAUACGACCUACGGGUGAAAGCAGGGGAUCUUCGGACCUUGCGCGAUUGAAUGAGCCGAUGUCGGAUUAGCUAGUUGGCGGGGUAAAGGCCCACCAAGGCGACGAUCCGUAGCUGGUCUGAGAGGAUGAUCAGCCACACUGGAACUGAGACACGGUCCAGACUCCUACGGGAGGCAGCAGUGGGGAAUAUUGGACAAUGGGCGCAAGCCUGAUCCAGCCAUACCGCGUGGGUGAAGAAGGCCUUCGGGUUGUAAAGCCCUUUUGUUGGGAAAGAAAAGCAGCAGGUUAAUACCCCGCUGUCCUGACGGUACCCAAAGAAUAAGCACCGGCUAACUUCGUG